RNAcentral lists this ribosomal RNA (512 nucleotides) under uncultured Thermodesulfovibrio sp. RNAcentral describes it as "bacterial SSU rRNA". It matches the Rfam family "Bacterial small subunit ribosomal RNA", at positions 1 to 526 of the family's 1533-position model. Lineage: Bacteria; Pseudomonadati; Nitrospirota; Thermodesulfovibrionia; Thermodesulfovibrionales; Thermodesulfovibrionaceae. The record is from RNAcentral.
UAGAGUUUGAUCAUGGCUCAGGAUGAACGCUGGCGGCGUGCCUAACACAUGCAAGUCGAACGGAGUCAUUUUGAAGUAGCAAUACGGAAGAAUGACUUAGUGGCGCACGGGUGAGUAACACGUAGGUAACCUGCCCUUAAGAGGGGGAAAACCCGCCGAAAGGCGAGCUAAUACCGCAUAAGACCACGAACUGAGAUGUUUGUGGUAAAAGGAGCAAUCCACUUAAGGAUGGGCCUGCGGCCUAUCAGGUAGUUGGUGAGGUAACGGCUCACCAAGCCUAAGACGGGUAGCCGGUCUGAGAGGACGGACGGCCACACUGGAACUGAGACACGGUCCAGACUCCUACGGGAGGCAGCAGUGGGGAAUUUUGCACAAUGGGCGAAAGCCUGAUGCAGCGACGCCGCGUGGAGGAUGAAGGUUUUCGGAUUGUAAACUCCUUUUGUAGGGGAAAAUAAUGAUGGUACCCUGCGAAUAAGCCACGGCUAACUCUGUGCCAGCCGCCGCGGUAAUUC